GCCGUGGUAGCUCAAUUGGGAGAGCAUUCGGCUGAAGACCGAAAGGUUGGUGGUUCAAAUCCGCCCCACGGCA
This 73-nucleotide transfer RNA is filed under the name Microcaldota archaeon. RNAcentral describes it as "Candidatus Micrarchaeota archaeon (hot springs metagenome) tRNA-Phe". It matches the Rfam family "tRNA". Rfam says of the family: Transfer RNA (tRNA) molecules are approximately 80 nucleotides in length. Lineage: Archaea; Nanobdellati; Microcaldota. The record is from RNAcentral.